CAGCCAAUUGUCUUUUAAGAUCUUCAAUAUGUUUUUCCAGUUUAUUAGCAACAGACUUGGUCUCUUUGUAAUUUGCAACCAGCACAUCCAGAUCUACCUUUUGUUUCUGAUAAUCUGCCAAGUUGGUUUCAUGAGUGGUCUUACAGAACUUAGAAGCAUUGAAGGAGGGCUUGAGAUAUUCAUAACGGUUGUGAAGGUUGAGG
RNAcentral lists this long non-coding RNA (203 nucleotides) under Prunus persica (peach). RNAcentral's name for it is "long non-coding RNA (PPER_LNC006141)". Lineage: Eukaryota; Viridiplantae; Streptophyta; Magnoliopsida; Rosales; Rosaceae. The record is from RNAcentral.